ACCGCCACGGAUGGCGGUGGUUCCACUCAGAAACGAUGUUUUAAAAGCACAGCCCUUUUUAAAUGCUUUUAAAACUCGUAGGUGUUAUUUUAAUACGGAUGUUAAAAUAACACCGUUG
This 118-nucleotide small RNA is filed under the name Treponema phagedenis. RNAcentral describes it as "TD-2 RNA". It matches the Rfam family "TD-2 RNA". Rfam says of the family: non coding RNA found in Treponema denticola The record is from Rfam by way of RNAcentral. Lineage: Bacteria; Pseudomonadati; Spirochaetota; Spirochaetia; Treponematales; Treponemataceae.